UUCCUGAAUCGGGUUUUCUUGACCCUUUUUGAGCCAAAAUAUAUUAAACCCACAGUACAAAACAAAUCCGCUUUCUACUUAACCCUUUUCUUUGCAAAACACUGAUGGCGAUCAAAGGAGACUCGCCGCCUCUAAUCUACGAUCAACCACAUCUUUGAUUAUACACCUUAUUUUCUGUUGCAGAUGCUUAGAUUCACUUCAAAUUCAAGUGAGUUGUUCAUAUCUUUCAUCGAUCACAUGAAUUGUUUCUGAUUGUACGUCGAUUUGUGUUUUCUUGUGUUUCUGAUGGUUUAAAUGUUUGAAAUCAACAUUGUGCAGUUUAGGUUUAGUAUUUUGUUUAUAAUUCACACGCUAUGAAUGUUUUGGUAGCUUGAUUGGUAGUAUUUGGAGUUUGAUUUGUGAGAUUAAAAGAUAAAACGGUUAAUAGUCAGGGUUAGUAGUUAGGGUUUGAUAAGUAGGGUUGAUAGUUAGGGUUUGGUGUAUGGGGAAGCAGGAUUAUCAAGGAAAGGGUCAUUGUGUAACCUAACAUUAUAUGAAGUUCAACCGCAGUUAGGGGAUUUAAGGGAGCCUUUAUUUUUAUGAAUCUGGAUGAGCUUUUGAUGAGUGUGUAUAGUGCUGAAAGUAAUCAAGCGGCAAGUAGUAACGCGGUUAAUUAUACGAAGCUCACACAGCUUGAUUCAGGUGUGACAAAGAAGAUGGUUGAUGAAGUGUGGUAGGAUAUACAACAGGGUCAGAAGAAGAAAACGAAUGUUAGUGAUGAUGAUGGGAAUAAAUGUUAGUAAGGGUGGUAAUUUUAAGUGUGGUGAAGAGAAGAGACAACCUACUCUUCGUGAGAUAACACUUGAAGAUUUGUUGGUCAAAGCAGGGGUUGUUUUGAAUGUUUUCCCGAGAAGAUGAAUGAAUAAGGGAAUCUUGAACAGAAAGAAUUGCAGUGGAAAAACUAUCAAAGUCCUGCAAGUUACUAACAGAAUGUGAUUAUGGCUGCUCAUUAUCAUGUUCAACAAUCGGUUUUGGUUCCUGGUAACACUUUAAUGGAUGUGGGUUAUAUGUCUCCAACCACUUUAAUGGGUAGUUUAUCAUACAGUCAUGUCUGGAACGAAAAGGUUUGCUUUUGGAGAUGUGAUGGAGAAGACUGUUGAAAGAAGGCAAAAGCGAAUGAUAAAGAAUAGGGAGUCUGCUGCAUGCUCAAGAGCAACAAAACAGCACUCUCAACUUAUCUACUAGGGAGGCAAUGGUAAUAGAUCUUACUGGUAUUAAAGACUUCUGCAGCCUUUAGAAAUCUUAAAAUUUUAAUUGUUUAGCGUGUUUUAUUAAAUUUAAACUUGUAAGUGAGAAUAUAUAUUCAUGCCUGAUGCAUGUUGUAUGAGCAAAGAUAUUUGAGACUUUGGUUAGGUUUAUAUCUAGACCAAUUCAUCUGAUUAUAUAUGUUUAUAAGUUUUCGGUUU
Long non-coding RNA from Helianthus annuus (common sunflower), 1445 nucleotides. RefSeq lists it as uncharacterized. NCBI's taxonomy places the organism in Eukaryota, Viridiplantae, Streptophyta, Magnoliopsida, Asterales, Asteraceae. The record is from RefSeq and is a predicted model, not a curated record. The transcript is spliced from 2 exons.